UGAGUUAUGCUUACAAAGAGCACAGAUAAAAUAGUGUUUAAUCAGAGCUGCUGCUUCCCUUUGCAAGCAAAAGAUAAUGAAAUAACUAUCCUGCAGUAUGAAAGCAUUGAGUUAUCUCAUCCUAAUGUGAGUGCAUGCCUGAAUCACCUUCCUGUCUUUGACUUGCUUUAACACUUGGAUUUAAAAAAAGUACUUCUGUCCUUAAAGGAGAAGACUGAAUGACUUUAAAAAGCAAAGACUUCAGAGAGACAGCAUGAAACCAUGCAUGGAAAUAAAUACACAGCUGUAGUCUGGAUGGUCAUUAAUGAUGCACAGCCUGUGAGGAUGUAUGGGAGUAACAUUCUUCAUUUUGAAAGAGUCAGAGGAAAAAGGCCACUAGCAAUUAUGCCACACAGUGCCAUGAAAUAUAUUAGACCCUUUCUUAAUGCUGGAUAAAAUGAGACCGGCUUAGAAAAGCAGAGACACUGUCAUACCCAAAGGAUUCUCCAAAACAAGAGCCCUGGCUUUCCAAGCACCAAAUUUCCAGAGCAAUCUGUCAAGGAAUUUAUCAUAUAAAACAGCUAGAAGGUCUGGGAUCAGAGACAUUUGUCCUUUCAAAGGUCAUAAAGUAUUGUCAGUGGAGCAUUUUCCUGCUCCCUAAAUUAUGAGCAACAGACCUCUUCUGUGGCUGAGUUGGUUGGACCUUGAUUUUUGUUUGUUGAGAGAGUGAGGAUCAUUUAUGGCCCAUGGAAAUUCCCUACCAGGUUCUCUGCAGUGGGUCUGUGCCCCUGGGGUUCCUGCUGCAAACCAUUCUGAAGAUGUUGCAAUGUUUCAGGACUCUUCAGAUCACCAACUCCAGAAGAAUUUCAGGAAGAUGUCAGGAUUGAGGGAGCCAGGUUGGGAUUCCACCUGUACAAAAGCAACAUAAGCCAGUUAUAAAAGGCUCUAGGCUUGUGCUACCAUAUUUUGAGUGCUGUUGUAGUACCUGGGACAUCUCUGAAACUUCAGGGAUAACAUAAGGCCUCUGUCUUUCCUAAGUAUUAGACUGUGCCAUCUAAAUAAAAUUUUGAGAGUCAUGAAGGGAGAGGGAAUGUUCAUGCUCCUUUUGAACGUAAUUUAGCUGUUAUUAUGAACCAUGUCCUGUAACUGUCCCCACUCUCUGUUAAUGUUUAUAGAAAGCCUAGGAACAUUAGCUUUUGCCUUUGGGCUUCUCAUCAAGAUGUCUAAAGCAUGUAAAUCAUUUUAUAGAAUCAACAACUGAGCUGCGAGGAAAUUUGGACCACCUGAUAAGGUCCCAAAAUAAAGUUAUGCAAUUUCUGUAGUGGAUUCAGCAGACCUAAACAUGAAAUACAUUCAUAGGCAAAUCUUCCCAGAGAGAAUCUCUAGGUUAGAUUUUGAUUGUAUUUAUCUUAGUUAAUUUACAGAUGCCUUUAAGAAGGGUGCUUUUAAUGUCUCUGUACUCCCACACAUCCAUGGCUAUUUUCAGAACUACCCAGGAUGCAUUUGCAUUGAUUACAGUGCCCAAACAAGAGCCUGCCUUGAUACUAAUGCAGAGCAGCUGGGUUUCAGGACCUGGACUACACACUGCUACAGCAGCAGCCUGAACUGCACCUGCCCUGCGGCAAAAGCAGGAAGGGAUGUUUAGAUUUCCUGAUUCUGGCCAGUGGAUAUUGUAAACCAGAAUUUAUGGGAUGUACAGUGAGCAGCAUGGCCCUCAAACUGGGCUGGAACAGGCAGGUUUCAGCAGCAGAUACUCAGACUUGCCUACAGGAUGCAUUUGGCCAUGAUUGUACAGCCACAACGUGGUUCAGGGAAGAAACCCUCAGUGUUCCCAGCCUCCAGUUUAACAGAACCUGACUAUCUCCACAGAAUUCAGAAGUCCCCUGGAUGGACUUGGUGGCUUAGUGUUGGUCAGUGUCACCAGCUGAGUUAGGAACCUUCAUUUGCUGGUGGAGUUGCUUACCAGUGCCUCUUCUGGAUGUGCAUUUUAAUUCUGGAUGUCUAGAAAGUCCUCAGUAUCACCUCAGAAAUGUGCCAAAUAGACAUUAAUUUUCAAAAAGUUCAAAUAUGAGAAGCAAUUAUGUCAAAUAAGUUUCUUGGCUGACAGAAGCUGAUGUUAUCAUUUAAAAUGAUCUGGCAAAGCUGCAGUGUUAAUGAUAUGAAAACUAAAUAAGCACAGGAGAUAAUGCAAAGAUGCUGAGUUGGGCAGGAAAUUAUUUCUAAUAUGA
Long non-coding RNA from Zonotrichia leucophrys gambelii, 2207 nucleotides. RefSeq lists it as uncharacterized. The record is from RefSeq and is a predicted model, not a curated record. The transcript has 3 exons. Lineage: Eukaryota; Metazoa; Chordata; Aves; Passeriformes; Passerellidae.